AACGCAUAUGGCACCUUUUGGUUUUUACUAAAAGGUAUGCCUGUUUGAGAAUCAUUUUAUUCAUCGUUUCCUUUUGGAUUCUCGAAUCCUUUUGGGGACUGCAAUUGGGCAUUCAUCAUUGAUAGCCUUGAAUUUAUGCACGAUUGUGUCGUGAUAAUUUUACGAAUUAAUCGACCAAUCCCACCCCCCAGUAUUAAUGAUCUCAAAUCAGGCAAGAUUACCCGCUGAACUUAA
This 234-nucleotide unclassified non-coding RNA is filed under the name Monodictys sp. Its description in RNAcentral is "partial contains 5.8S ribosomal RNA, internal transcribed spacer 2, and large subunit ribosomal RNA". The record is from RNAcentral. Lineage: Eukaryota; Fungi; Ascomycota; Dothideomycetes; Pleosporales.